Molecule: ribosomal RNA, 1321 nt
Filed under: Triticum aestivum (bread wheat)
Lineage: Eukaryota; Viridiplantae; Streptophyta; Magnoliopsida; Poales; Poaceae
Description: partial small subunit ribosomal RNA
Source: RNAcentral
GCGCGCUACUCUUUUGUUUAGGUGGCUCGCCGAGUGGGAAUAGGGAUUGGAGGGUUGAGGGGGUGGAGGAGGAGGACGGCGGUGGCUUGUGGAGCGCGCGCGGCGGCGGCCACUGGAGCGCUCGGGGUACUAGGGGUUAGAGAGGAUGUAGAACGCGCGCGUGUGGGGUUAGCUCUGGACGUCGACCGCUGGAGUGCGCGGCAGUAGCGCCGGGCGGGCCGGCAACGAGGACGACCGCGCUGGGCGGCGGGCGUAGACCGGCCAACUCGGGGACUCGGGGACUUAGCAGCGCGGUGUGGAGGUCGAUUCAUCGAAGGAAAACGGUGCAGAGGUAACCGGCAGGUACCACGAUAGAGAAGCCGGCGAUCAAUAAUGAUGUUGACUCGUAGAAGAGAACGUCUCUAGGUAGCUGUAAGGAACGACUACCGACGGGCUCGAUACUCUUAUUAGCAGGAGGUUGGCGGAGCCGGCGAGUGGUUGUGCGGGUGGACGUCAAGUCGUGUGUCGGAGGAGGGUCACCCCGGGUAGUGCGAGUCCAGCAAGCAGCGACGGUGGAGGCCAGCAAGUUAAUGCGUCGGGAUUCUGCAAGUGACGGUAGUCUUUGUCGCUGCUCGUGCUUCUGUGGAAGAGUACGAGUCACGAUAGAGGGAGUAUUGUGUUCUUCAAGUACAUUUUGACAACGUUUCCAAGUCUCUCUAAUCGAGCGGGGAGGAGGUAUCUAUCGGAUGUGGUCGACGGUCUUGGGCAGGUCCACGACCAGUAGUAGGAGCUAGAAGUUAAUGCCCAGUCGUUGCCGCGACGCUUAUCUUUCCCGGGACACUUCAAGUUAAACAAAAAGAAAGGCUUCAAGUCAAACAACUAAAAGACUUCAAACCUAACAACUAAAAAAAUUCUCUUUCCAACGAAGUGAACGUGAGGAGAUAGAUUAGGAUACACCACUAGAGGAACUGAGGAGGAGCCAAGCCUCGAUCGCCGCCAAGAAGUCGAAGAGACGACGCAACAGCGCUAACAACGUCUCUGUUUAAAAUAUGAAACAAGUAGAUGCCACGGUUCAACUCGCCUGUGGCAUCGUGAGCUCUUCUACCCCUCUCCUACACACCACUUCUCUUUUGUAUCCCAAAGUUUAACAGGUAACCACCAUCGUAGAUUAGUAAAAUGGUUUCACAUUACCUGUACACAUACAUACAUAUCAUCGUAUAAAAUGAGCUUGGCUCAAUAAAAAAAAUUACGUGCUUCAAACACGUCGGUUUUUUUGUACAUAAUUUGACCAAAAACACACAAAAGAUUGGAAAAGAUGUGGAAAGAUGCUCUACAUGUUUAG